Lynx canadensis (Canada lynx) is the source of this 454-nucleotide long non-coding RNA. RefSeq lists it as uncharacterized. The transcript is spliced from 3 exons. Lineage: Eukaryota; Metazoa; Chordata; Mammalia; Carnivora; Felidae. The record is from RefSeq and is a predicted model, not a curated record.
CUUGCAAUCACUAAUUCUUCAUCUCAUACUUGUCCACUUUGCCGUGUGAUGAACUUAAAACCAUGAGAAAAAGAUUUUGAAAAUCAUUUCUGCUCAUUGUAUGUUACCUUUCCAUUUCUGUCAACAUGGGGUACUGUGCAACAGAGGCAGGAUUGAUAAAAAACCACAAUAACAAAAAAAAGUCCUUAUUUGAGGAAAGGCAAAGAUGAGAGCUCACAGGAAGCCCUCCCCAAAGUGCUGAGCCUUGGAAGAUGAAAAACAUGAGUACCAUGCAUGAGAUGGAGAUGACAGUGCUCCUCCUUACAAUGAAAUGAGAGCAGGAGGAACCAAGGACAGGAUCUGGAUAGCCCACAAACGAAGGGCCAUCCUUGUGGAUAUGAACUCAAGUGUCCAUUAACUGAUGAAUGAAUAGAAUGUGGUAUACCCAUACCGUGGAAUACUAUUCAGCCACAAA